RNAcentral lists this ribosomal RNA (500 nucleotides) under uncultured bacterium. RNAcentral's name for it is "partial 16S ribosomal RNA". It matches the Rfam family "Bacterial small subunit ribosomal RNA", at positions 30 to 523 of the family's 1533-position model. The record is from RNAcentral.
AUUGAACGCUGGCGGCAGGCCUAACACAUGCAAGUCGAGCGGUAGAGAGAAGCUUGCUUCUCUUGAGAGCGGCGGACGGGUGAGUAAUGCCUAGGAAUCCGCCUGGUAGGGGGGGAUAACGUUCGGAAACGGACGCUAAUACCGCAUACGUCCUACGGGAGAAAGCAGGGGGCCUUCGGGCCUUGCGCUAUCAGAUGAGCCUAGGUCGGAUUAGCUAGUUGGUGAGGUAAUGGCUCACCAAGGCGACGAUCCGUAACUGGUCUGAGAGGAUGAUCAGUCACACUGGAACUGAGACACGGUCCAGACUCCUACGGGAGGCAGCAGUGGGGAAUAUUGGACAAUGGGCGAAAGCCUGAUCCAGCCAUGCCGCGUGUGUGAAGAAGGUCUUCGGAUUGUAAAGCACUUUAAGUUGGGAGGAAGGGUUGUAGAUUAAUACUCUGCAAUUUUGACGUUACCGACAGAAUAAGCACCGGCUAACUCUGUGCCAGCCGCCGCGGUAA